RNAcentral lists this small nuclear RNA (102 nucleotides) under Nannospalax galili (Upper Galilee mountains blind mole rat). Lineage: Eukaryota; Metazoa; Chordata; Mammalia; Rodentia; Spalacidae. The record is from RNAcentral.
ACAAUAGGAAAAAAUAGUAGUUCUUAUUUGGAACACCAGCAAAGAUUAUCAUGGUCCCUUCACAAGGAUGACAUGAAGAUUCAUGAUGCAUUCCAUAUUUUA